UUCGUGAUAAUCAUAUAAGGCCCUUGGCAACGCAAUCCCUAAUACAUUUUUUCCAUUUCAAACAUUACUUGUCCUUCGAACUGCCCCGCCCUUAGCAAAUAACAAUGCCCAUGUCAUAUUUGUGGUUUUACUUUCGAUUUACCUUUAACAUAAUCGAAACCCAGAAAUCCAAUAGGCGAAGGCAUAAACGCAGUGUCCAGAGGACUACUGGGUGAAAUGUCACACUUGCUUCCGAUGGAGGAAGCUCCCAGAAGGGAUUGAUUCCCAGCUGCUCCCUGAGAAGUGGUCCUGUCACUUAAACCCAGACCCACUGUUCAGGUGCCUUUGGAGUCUGCUAUUGGUGACUGCGUGAGAAACAAAGAGUGGAGCUGCACCAUAGAGGAAGAGGGUGUGCCGCGAUUCCAGAAAACCCACAGGGAACGUGGCGAGUUGCAGGAGAGAAGACAACAGG
Molecule: long non-coding RNA, 451 nt
Organism: Esox lucius (northern pike)
Lineage: Eukaryota; Metazoa; Chordata; Actinopteri; Esociformes; Esocidae
Exons: 4
Source: RefSeq, a predicted model, not a curated record